UGGGGAAUAUUGCACAAUGGGCGCAAGCCUGAUGCAGCCAUGCCGCGUGUAUGAAGAAGGCCUUCGGGUUGUAAAGUACUUUCAGUCGGGAGGAAGGUGGUAAGGUUAAUAACCUUAUCAAUUGACGUUACCGACAGAAUAAGCACCGGCUAACUCCGUGCCAGCAGCCGCGGUAAUACGGAGGGUGCAAGCGUUAAUCGGAAUUACUGGGCGUAAAGCGCACGCAGGCGGUUGAUUGAGUCAGAUGUGAAAUCCCCGGGCUUAACCCGGGAAUUGCAUCUGAUACUGGUCAGCUAGAGUCUUGUAGAGGGGGGUAGAAUUCCAUGUGUAGCGGUGAAAUGCGUAGAGAUGUGGAGGAAUACCGGUGGCGAAGGCGGCCCCCUGGACAAAGACUGACGCUCAGGUGCGAAAGCGUGGGGAGCAAACAGG
Molecule: ribosomal RNA, 429 nt
Filed under: Chloroflexota bacterium
Lineage: Bacteria; Bacillati; Chloroflexota
Description: Chloroflexi bacterium partial 16S ribosomal RNA
Rfam family: Bacterial small subunit ribosomal RNA
Source: RNAcentral